Molecule: ribosomal RNA, 306 nt
Filed under: uncultured bacterium
Lineage: Bacteria
Description: partial 16S ribosomal RNA
Rfam family: Bacterial small subunit ribosomal RNA
Source: RNAcentral
GACAGCAGCAGCCGCGGGAAUACGUAGGUCCCGAGCGUUGUCCGGAUUUAUUGGGCGUAAAGCGAGCGCAGGCGGUUAGAAAAGUCUGAAGUGAAAGGCAGUGGCUCAACCAUUGUAGGCUUUGGAAACUGUUUAACUUGAGUGCAAGAGGGGAGAGUGGAAUUCCAUGUGUAGCGGUGAAAUGCGUGGAUAUAUGGAGGAACACCGGUGGCGAAAGCGGCUCUCUGGCUUGUAACUGACGCUGAGGCUCGAAAGCGUGGGGCGCAAACAGGAUUAGAUACCCCAGUAGUCCCUGUCUCUUAUACA